UUACCGAGUUGAUUCGGGCUCCGGCCCGAUCCUCCCACCCUUUGUGUACCUACCUCUGUUGCUUUGGCGGGCCGCGGUCCUCCGCGGCCGGCCCCCCUCCCCGGGGGGUGGCCAGCGCCCGCCAGAGGACCAUCAAACUCCAGUCAGUAAAACGAUGCAGUCUGAAAAACAUUUAAUAAACUAAAACUUUCAACAACGGAUCUCUUGGUUCUGGCAUCGAUGAAGAACGCAGCGAAAUGCGAUAAGUAAUGUGAAUUGCAGAAUUCAGUGAAUCAUCGAAUCUUUGAACGCACAUUGCGCCCUUUGGUAUUCCGAAGGGCAUGCCUGUUCGAGCGUCAUUACAACCCUCAAGCUCUGCUUGGUAUUGGGCACCGUCCUUUGCGGGCGCGCCUCAAAGACCUCGGCGGUGGCGUCUUGCCUCAAGCGUAGUAGAACAUACAUCUCGCUUCGGAGCGCAGGGCGUCGCCCGCCGGACGAACCUUCUGAACUUUUCUCAAGGUUGACCUCGGAUCAGGUAGGGAUACCCGCUGAACUUAAGCAUAUCAAUAAGGC
Molecule: ribosomal RNA, 552 nt
Filed under: Botryosphaeria dothidea
Lineage: Eukaryota; Fungi; Ascomycota; Dothideomycetes; Botryosphaeriales; Botryosphaeriaceae
Description: eukaryotic LSU rRNA
Rfam family: 5.8S ribosomal RNA (bases 185-338)
Source: RNAcentral